GAGGCUUUGAAGUGUGGACGCCAGUCUGCAUGGAGCCGACCUUGAAAUACCACCCUUUAAUGUUUGAUGUUCUAACGUGGACCCGUGAUCCGGGUUGCGGACAGUGUCUGGUGGGUAGUUUGACUGGGGCGGUCUCCUCCUAAAGAGUAACGGAGGAGCACGAAGGUUGGCUAAUCCUGGUCGGACAUCAGGAGGUUAGUGCAAUGGCAUAAGCCAGCUUGACUGCGAGCGUGACGGCGCGAGCAGGUGCGAAAGCAGGUCAUAGUGAUCCGGUGGUUCUGAAUGGAAGGGCCAUCGCUCAACGGAUAAAAGGUACUCCGGGGAUAACAGGCUGAUACCGCCCAAGAGUUCAUAUCGACGGCGGUGUUUGGCACCUCGAUGUCGGCUCAUCACAUCCUGGGGCUGAAGUAGGUCCCAAGGGUAUGGCUGUUCGCCAUUUAAAGUGGUACGCGAGCUGGGUUUAGAACGUCGUGAGACAGUUCGGUCCCUAUCUGCCGUGGGCGCUGGAGAACUGAGGGGGGCUGCUCCUAGUACGAGAGGACCGGAGUGGACGCAUCACUGGUGUUCGGGUUGUCAUGCCAAUGGCACUGCCCGGUAGCUAAAUGCGGAAGAGAUAAGUGCUGAAAGCAUCUAAGCACGAAACUUGCC
This 648-nucleotide ribosomal RNA is filed under the name Escherichia coli. Its description in RNAcentral is "partial 23S ribosomal RNA". It matches the Rfam family "Bacterial large subunit ribosomal RNA", at positions 2151 to 2798 of the family's 2925-position model. Lineage: Bacteria; Pseudomonadati; Pseudomonadota; Gammaproteobacteria; Enterobacterales; Enterobacteriaceae. The record is from RNAcentral.